Molecule: ribosomal RNA, 484 nt
Filed under: uncultured bacterium
Lineage: Bacteria
Description: partial 16S ribosomal RNA
Rfam family: Bacterial small subunit ribosomal RNA
Source: RNAcentral
AUUGAACGCUGGCGGCAGGCCUAACACAUGCAAGUCGAGCGGAUGAAGGGAGCUUGCUCCUGGAUUCAGCGGCGGACGGGUGAGUAAUGCCUAGGAAUCUGCCUGGUCGUGGGGGAUAACGUCCGGAAACGGGCGCUAAUACCGCAUACGUCCUGAGGGAGAACGUGGGGGAUCUUCGGACCUCACGCUAUCAGAUGAGCCUAGGUCGUAUUAGCUAGUUGGUGGGGUAAAGGCCUACCAAGGCGACGAUCCGUAGCUGAUCUGAGAGGGUGAUCAGUCACACUGGAACUGAGACACGGUCCAGACUCCUACGGGAGGCAGCAGUGGGGAAUAUUGCGCAAUGGGCGAAAGCCUGACGGAGCAACGCCGCGUGAGUGAGGAAGGUCUUCGGAUCGUAAAACUCUGUUAUUAGGGAAGAAGAAAAGUGUAAGUAACUAUGCACGUCUUGACGGUACCUAAACAGAAAGCCACGGCUAACUACGUG